RNAcentral lists this ribosomal RNA (282 nucleotides) under Pseudoduganella flava. RNAcentral's name for it is "Massilia flava partial 23S ribosomal RNA". It matches the Rfam family "Bacterial large subunit ribosomal RNA", at positions 2647 to 2925 of the family's 2925-position model. Lineage: Bacteria; Pseudomonadati; Pseudomonadota; Betaproteobacteria; Burkholderiales; Oxalobacteraceae. The record is from RNAcentral.
GUGGGCGUUGGAAAUUUGAAGGGGGCUGCUCCUAGUACGAGAGGACCGGAGUGGACGAACCUCUGGUGUACCGGUUGUCACGCCAGUGGCAUUGCCGGGUAGCUAAGUUCGGAAGAGAUAACCGCUGAAAGCAUCUAAGCGGGAAACUUGCCUUAAGAUGAGAUUUCCCGGAGCCUUGAGCUCCUUGAAGGGUCGUUCGAGACCAGGACGUUGAUAGGUCAGGUGUGGAAGUGCAGUAAUGCAUUAAGCUAACUGAUACUAAUUGCCCGUACGGCUUGUCCC